This 496-nucleotide unclassified non-coding RNA is filed under the name Artemisia rutifolia. RNAcentral's name for it is "partial external transcribed spacer". The stretch from base 431 to 496 matches the Rfam family "Eukaryotic small subunit ribosomal RNA", at positions 1 to 64 of the family's 1831-position model. Lineage: Eukaryota; Viridiplantae; Streptophyta; Magnoliopsida; Asterales; Asteraceae. The record is from RNAcentral.
UCGUAAAGGGUGAUGAGUGGUGUUUGGUUUGUCUACRGUGUGGUUGGCUGCGGCGUUUGCAACAACUUCCAUGCUUUCAGACCUCUUCAGUUGUGCGGCAAGGCUUGUAUCGCCUUGAGCGUAUUGUGGGUUUUCUGUGUUGAAUACCUAAUCAAUGGUAUCGGUUGGAUUGAUCAAUGUUUCAUUUCGUCUGUCGCCGCAUUCGCGGCGUGAGAUGAACCUUGACGCGGUCUCUUUGCUCCACCUCGUUGAAGCACAUGCUUUGACGUUGUGGCACAUUGAGCAUUGCUUGGUCUCUUGUAUACGGAACAUAUAGUGGGCAUGGAUCUAACGAUUCUUGUUUGCCCUCAUGUUAGCGUAACGCUUCUCUUACACGACUUGCCCCACGUUUUAGCUCGUACGGACGUGGUGCUAUGUCGAAGAGGAAUGCUACCUGGUUGAUCCUGCCAGUAGUCAWUAUGCUUGUCUCAAAGAUUAAGCCAUGCUGGUKGUAAGU